This 6606-nucleotide long non-coding RNA is filed under the name Homo sapiens (human). Its description in RNAcentral is "non-protein coding lnc-CXCR5-1:6". The record is from RNAcentral. Lineage: Eukaryota; Metazoa; Chordata; Mammalia; Primates; Hominidae.
GAGGGGCGCGCAGGCCAGCCGCCCGAGCCGCCGGCUCCCCCGGCUGUCCAGCCCUACCUCCUCCGCUGCCCGCUCUCGUGGCGCCGCCGAAGUCGCCGCCUGGCUGAGCUAACUCGGCUCCUCUGCCCCCUCCCUCGCUCGCCCGUUCGCCCGCCCGCCGCCUCCUCCCUCUUUCCCUGCCUCUCCGCAUGGCGGCGACCGCGGCUCCUCCUCCACUCAAGAUGGCGAAACCUCGGCCGCCGCGGCUAUAUUCGCCGCGGCGUCACUGCCUUCCUGGCCUGGUGGUGAGAGGAAGUCGGGCCGCGAAAGCUUCCUGAGGAGAAAAUGGAGGGCCCUUCUCUCACACCGACGAGAAAAGUUCGAGGGGGAAAUACGAGUUCCUUUCUGAAGGGACAGGACGGCUGCUUUUCCACAGCCGCGACGUGAUUGAGAAAUGGUGGCUGGCAAGGGUAGGCCUGCCUUCGCCCCUCCAAAGUAAAAAUCGGGAGUUGAGACCAGAGGAACAUCUCUUUAUUACAUGACUAAGGAUAUGUUUUGAAAACUGGCCCCCGGGCAGCUGCUCGGGGACAGGAAGCUGACCUGACUUCUCCAGCUGGCCGGGGAGGCUGAUGCCGGGCCUAAGGGGCCGCGUCCGAGCCUCUCGGGGCGCGCCUCCAUGCAGGAAGGCGCGGAACUAGCGACCCGGAGACGCCGGGCGCGCGUCUGAGUGUGGGGGCAGGAAGGGGGGCCGACCGGGCCCGGAGGCCGCACCAGGCAGGAGGGAGGACUCCAGAGAGUGCGCGGGGGGCGCUGCGCGGUGGGACGGGGCGAGCCUGUAGGGCGCGCCUGGCGGCGGGUAGGCUCCGGGCUUGAGGGUGCGCCUGGGGGCGCUGGUUGUGGGGGAAGGCACCGGGCUUGAGGGUGCACCUGGGCGGGGGAAGUCUUCGGGCAUGAGGGCGCGCCUGCGGGUGGUAUGGGGGGGUACACCGAGCUUGAGGGUGCGCCCGGGGGGCUCUCAUGUGAAGGGUACCAGGCUUGAGGGCGCCCCUGCGGGGGGCGCAGAGGCACCGAGCUUGAGGGUGCGCCUCGGGGGUCUGCGGGGGGAAGGCACCGGACUUGAGCGUGCGCCGGGAGAGGACGGCGGGGGACCGGACUGUGAGGGCGUAUCUUGGGGGACCUGUCUAGGAGGAACCGGGAGGUGAAGGCACAACUGGGGGUGAGGCGGGGGCAGGGGCCGGGCUGUGAGAGUGCGACUGAGGGGGGAUUACUCCGGAGAGCACGGAGCUGGGGGCGUUGCGCAGGUGGAGUGGGGAGGCCUGGUGGAGAGGGUAGCAAACCGAGAGAGCGCACCGGGGUGGUGGGGGGAGAAGCUGGACUGUAAGGUGAAGAGUUAGUAGGGCGCAACCGUCUUCUCCUGCCCUCGAAGGGCAAGACUGAAGAAAGUAGGGGCGGAGGAGGCCGGGCCCUCCACUAAAGGGAGGGAAGCUAGUGAAGCGUCAGUUAUAAUAGAAAUAGGAAUUCAGUAAGGAAAUGGAGAAGCUUAAGGCAAAGGGUGACUCUCCGGCCUGACCCUCACUAUGAAGAUAUUUAUGUAUGUUCCCAUAAUACUUUUCAGAUCCCAAUGUCUGUGUUUAUCCUUGACAGAAAUAAUAGAACUGCUGUCUUCUUCCAAGUUAAACAAAACUUUGGAGCUAAAAGCUAGCUAGGUCAAGAGAAACAAAAUCUAAUCCUCACCCAAUUGAGAGACUGAAUAUACAAAGAAUGGCCAAACCUAACCAUGACCUCCUACCCAUAACCUCUUCAGUAAUCGGCCAGAAGGGUCAGGACUUAAUCUUUAACCGGCAGCUUCCCUAUUUCUUGCCCCUGCUUCCAGCUCUGGGCCAAUCAGAGAAAGCCAAAUGUGCUCCUCACACCAAUCGCGUAAGAAGCCCUGCUUCUAGUAUAGCCCUCCUCCAACUUCCCGAUGCCAACAUCCUCCAAUCAGAGCCAACCUGAAGUUUCUCCCUUUUUUCAGUAUAUGUAAAGCUUUUCCACUCCCCUGCCUGCCUAUGAGUCUGUUAAAUCAAGUGAUGGGUCGCGGCUGACUCUUGCCAGCUCUGAGUAAAUAGCCUAUUCUCAUUUGGUGGUCGUUAUUUCUACACAGCCGGUGGGAAGGUGGUGGAGAAUAGUGAAGACUAUUCUUAAGGUUAAAAAGAAGGUUCGGCUUACAUUUUUUUUUUAUUUUAAAUUUACAGCAUGGCGUCUCCAGCCCAGGUUUUAAAAUACCUUCUAAUGUAAGGAAAUAGCCCUGCACCUUGUGCCCAUCCUAGAGAGAAAAUGGUUUCUUAAUAAAAAAUGUAUGAGGCCUUUUUUGCCCCAAUAUCUUCCCAAGCAGAGGAAUGUGAAGGGGGGUUGGGCCAAGAAGUGAGUGGUAGGAAGAGAGGCCUACGGAUUUAAAACAGGCCACUGCUUGGAGGGGUGUCUUUCCUAAACCACUGAAGAAAUUGAACCAGGCAAAGGAAGGGGGUUCACACCCACAAAUAAACUAUAACCUACAAAAGGAGCCCGGGUUCACAUCCACAAAUAAAUUGUAACCUACACAAGGAGUCUGGUUGAGGUCACAAAACAAAAGCCAGGAGGCAACCAAAAGUAGAAUAUGAAAUAGGUGCUGCCUUCUCACCUAGGAAUCCUUCCAGGGCUAAAACCUUCAAAUAUUCUGCUUUUAAGGUAGUCAGAUACCCUCACAACUCAUUUACAUCAGCCCUUCUCUGUUUUCAAGUGAGAAGCAUAGAUGGUUUAGAAUUAAGCUAUGAACUCUUGGAUCUUUUCUUCCAAGUUUAGUGUUAGUGGUAGAUAGGUCUAGUCCAACUAUCUCAAUACAUUGUUUUCUCCCUAGUUAAAACAGAUUUGCAAGAAUCAUUUGUAUGACACUUUAGGAAUACAGAUAAAUUGCUAGUGCAAAUAAUAUCCUUAUAUUUAUAAAAUAUAUGUGUACUUUUAAAAAAGUUAUAUGAAUCCAAUCCUCUGGCCUUUUAGUUAGUAUUGAGUGUGAUAGUUGUGGGAGAUCUGUAGUAAAUACGGUUUCUGAAGGGUGUGCUAUCAUCCCUAAUGAACUCACCUAUUAAUUGUGGUAAAGAGUUUUUCACUUGGGCUGGGCACGGUGGCUCACGCCUGUAAUCCCAGCACUUUGGGAGGCCGAGGCAGGUGGGUCGACUGAGGUCAGGAGUUCCAGACCAGCCUAGCCAACAUGGUGAAACCCCGUCUGUACUAAAAAAAAAAAAAAGAAAAAAAAUAGCUGGGCAUGGUGGCAGGUGCCUGUAAUCCCAGCUACUUGGGAGGCUGAGGCAGGAGAAUCCCUUGAACCUGGGGAGGCGGAGGUUGCAGUGAGCCAAGAUCGUGCCAUUGCACUCCAGCCUGGGCAACAAGAGCAAAACUCCGUCUCAAAAAAAAAAAAAAAAAGAAAAAGAAAAAGAAAUGAAAAAAAAAGUUUCCCAACAUGUAUUAGCCGUUUUCAUGUUGUCUGUAUUCACCUUUGCGUCAUCACCCCUCUUCAAUUUCCUCCUGGAAUUCAAUCACAGUAAUGGGUUAUCUCAGCAUAUAUUAUUCGCCAGUCUCACAUCCUGACCUCAUUUAUUUACCUAAAAAUAACCAGAACGAAAAAAAAAUCACAGAUUAAUUUACACUUGAUUUCACUUUAACUUCAAUUUAAAAUACUUAGAAUCCAGAAUUCCUAGUAAGUUGAACCUGGAAUACGCAGACCUGUGAUAAUAUCUUAAACACUCAAAUGUUUUCAACUUGCUGAAAUGGAGUUCACACUUUUAACAUUCUGGGCUUUUUUUUUAAAAGGGACUAUAAUACUUUAACUCAAAUUACAAUCAAAUGUGUUCAUUACCUAUAAGAAAAAAAUUUUACCUAUCUCAUAUCUUCAGUGAAAUGAUUAUAUCACAUCUGGCUAAGCUUUACCAUUUGGUAUUUGCCCUCUUUCAAGUGAUUUGCAGUAUAAUACUUUGAUUUCCCAAAAUUUCAACAUACAAAGUUAUUUUCCAAAUAUGCUCAAGCAACAUCUGAUCAUCACUAACAAGACUAAAGGCUAAUAUGCCCAAGGAGCCAAGUCCCGUUUUCUUGGGACUUCAUAGCAGGUAAAAAUUGCCUUUUCAAUUUAUACACCUGAAGAAAGUGAAGCAGCAUCAGUCACUGAGGGCUUAGUAGAGAUGUCCUCAGAGAGGUGCACAUACUGCGCUGAAGUUGAUGCAUACUAAGCAGGCGUGCUUAAUCACUGAGAGGUUACAUCAGGCACAUUUUGUUGGAAUAAAUGUUCCAACCCCUGAGUAAACUCAAAUUGAAAAGUAGGAAAGUUGGCCAGCGCGGUGGCUCACACCUGUAAUCCCAGCACUUUGGGAGGCCAAGGUGGGCGGAUCACGUGAGGUCAGGAGUUCGAGACCAGCCUGGCCAACAUGGUGAAACCCCAUCUCUACUAAAAAUACAAAAAUUAGCCGGGUGUGGCAGCAUGCACCUGUAAUCCCAGCUACUUGGGAGGCUGUGGCGGAGAAUUGCUUGAACCCAGGAGGCAGAGGUUGCAGUGAGCUGAGAUUGCACCACUGCACUCCAACCUGGGUGACAGAGUAAGACUCUGUCUCAAAAAAAAAAAAAAAAAAAAAAGUGUAGGAAAGCAAUAGUACAAACGAGGAGGGGAGUGGGUGAGUUAAACACAUUUUCCCCAAACUGCCAGGUUUACUUUGCAGAAUUUGUAUUCUCUUUCACAGAUAACAUAACCCUCAUUCCCAGCACACCACAACCAAGCUAGCUAGCUGGCUCAGCUCACGGUGUCCUUCGGCCACAUCGGGACUCAGCAUGGUAUAUGUUCUGGUCAUCACCCAGAGAAUUCUAGCUAUUCAUUUUGACUCUUCAGUUUCGCUAAGAUGACUGCAUGCCAGCAAUUUUAACUUAUUUAUUAAUUUGAAAAUAAUGUGUGGCUGGGCCGGGCACAGUGGCUCACGCCUGUAAUCCCAGCACUUUGGGAGGCCGAGGCAGGCGGAUCACGAGGUCAGGAGAUCAAGACCAGCCUGACUAACAUGGUGAAACCCUGUCCCUACUAAAAAUACAAAAAAUUAGCUGGGCGUGGUGGCAUGCACCUGUAGUCCCAGCUACUAGGGAGGCUUAGGCAGGAGAAUUGCUUGAACCCAGGAGGCAGAGGUCGCAGUGAGCCAAGAUCACACCACUGCACUUCAGCCUGGGCAACAGAACGAGACUCCGUCUCAAAAAGAAAAAAAGAAAAGAAAAAAGAAAAAGAAAAUAUGUGUGGCUGGAAGACACUGAAAUCUGGAAAACAGCUAUUUAGGUAUAAAUUUACUUUGACUUACUGAGAUCAAGAAAGAACUGACAUCGUCCUCAUCUAAGAUACCUUGUUCUCCUUGGGUAUUUUCCAAGUUAGUUCAGGGGCAGUUGCCGAGGAAUAACACUGAUGGGGGUUCACACUAUGGCGAUCUUGUUGAACUGCCUGAUGUUGGUUUGUGUAAUCUGCCCCCUUUGUGCCCAAGAACCUGUGACAAGAUUCUGCUUCUGACAACCUUCUGUGCAGGGGUAGCGACAGGAGUCUGAACAAUCAUUAAGUGUCCAGCCCUGGUUUCCUGCCACUAGUCAAUCUGCAGAGACUUUUAUUGAUUCUUGAAAAUACAACUGUGAUUGUAGGUUUGGGCCCUGGGAAUGUAAUUUAUAGCUAAAGAAUGGGCAAUGUCUUCUGUCCUGAGUGCCAUGGUUGGAUUGUGUAACAUCUGUGGCUACCAGGACAAGGAAGGAACAAAGGAAGACAAAAGUAUUUCAGUGCAGAGAUCUUCUCAGUGACCCUCCUUGCUUUUCAUCUGCCUGAUGAAUUUUAAAGACUACUUUUUAUCAUAUCUCCACACCGUAAACUACCCCCUCAGUGGCUCCCAGUUUCCUUUUACUACAUCUAGUCUACACUCCAUAGACCGACUGAGACUGCCAAUAUGCCUACCCAGUCGGAUUUCCUACUCUUCCUCCCCCCAUACAUUUGCUGCUCUGGUCUCCUGAAAGGUUACAUUCCCUCACCUCUGAUUGUUUCCCUUAGAAACCCUCUCAUCUCCUUUCCUCUGGGUCUAUCUAAAUCUCACUCAGAAUCCUAGAUAUAUUACCACAAGCCCCUAUCCUCCUAUGUUUCCCAUUCCUUUGCUCCUGUGCAACCAGGGCUCAGGCUCUGGAGUCAGACAGAUUUAGGUUCAUAAUCCCAGUUCUGCCACUUAUUAACUAUUACUCCAUAAAUGUGGAAACAUUUCUCAACUCUUUUUUUUUUUUUUUUUUUUUUUGAGACGGAGUCUCGCUGUGUUGCCCGGGCUGGAGUGCAGUGGUGUGAUCUUGGCUCACUGCAACUUCUGCCUCCCAGGUUCUAGUGAUUCUCCUGCCUCAGCCUCCCAAGUAGCUGGGACUACAGGUGUGUGCCACCACACCCGGCUAAUUUUUGUGUUUUUAGUAGAGAUGGCGUUUCACCAUUUUGACCAAGCUGGUCUCAAACUCCUGACCUCAAAUGAUCCACCCUCCUUGGCUUCCCAAAGUGCUAGGAUUACAGGCGUGAGCCGCCGCGCCUGGCCAUUUCUUAACUUCUGAACCUCAAUUUUCCCAUUUAUAAAAUGGGUA